RNAcentral lists this long non-coding RNA (1756 nucleotides) under Zonotrichia albicollis (white-throated sparrow). RNAcentral's name for it is "lncRNA (ENSZALG00000010331.1)". Lineage: Eukaryota; Metazoa; Chordata; Aves; Passeriformes; Passerellidae. The record is from RNAcentral.
GUAGCUAUAGGCAUUGAUCUUUCUUUUUCUCUGAUAAAAAAAAUCAUAUUAAUAUGACAUCCUGCAGCUCUUUGAUGUUUACAUAGUAUCAGUACAGGGAAAUACUACUUUCAGUUUGAUACAUAAAGCCCUCCUUGUCUCUUGUGUCUUUUGUCUGUAGGCUAUUAUGCAUGUGACUAAAGCCAUGCAUGACUUAAGCAAAUGUUUGAAUAGGGUUCUUGUGUAGUAGGACUGUAUAAGCCAUUAGGCAUACUCUCUUUAACUUGGUGAUGAAAACAUUAUGGUACAUUUGGUCACACAAAGUAGAGUAAAAUUGCUUUUGUGGCAGCAGAAUAAACAGCGUUCUAAUCUGUGGGGGUUUUUUCUUGUGCACGUGUGUGUGCGCUGCAUACUUUCGGCAAAAUUAUCAAGCAGGACUGAACAUGAAAAGUGUUAAAGUUAUUGGAGUUGUGAAGUGAAAGCUGGGCCGAAGAGAGAAAAAAAGUAUUGCUUUUUUCAUUCUGAAAUUUAAAAUCAACAUUAUUCUGUCAUAUUUGUGAUCUGAGCUUGAAAUCUGUUAAUUGACAUGUGAGGCAGUUGCUAACCAUCUCUGUCAUUUAUAAAGCCCUUUGUAAGGGUGCUGUUUUUCUUUCUUCUCUAUAUGUGGUGAAUACUGGAGUAGAGACUUGAAUUUUUGCUGUGGGAAUGUGAAAAACACUGGAAGCUGCUCUCUGCCAAGUUAUUUCCCCAAGGAUCUGCUUUACAUUCUGACAAUCAAUGACCUGUCAGGUGUAGUUAUGCACCAUAGCAGUGAUAUGAGGUCAAUCAGAUGAAAGCAAGAUAUUUUGAAAUCAUCUGUUGAUUUUUCUGUGCUGCAAGACCAGCAUGUGAAUCAUGUCAGCAACUAUACUCCAUGUUUCAAAAACAUGUAAAAAUGUUACAGUUCUUCAAACAGAAGAAGCAGACAUCAGAUCCAGAGUGGAGUGCUGGACAAAGAACACAAAGCAGCGAGGAAGUACCGGAUCCAGCUGCCUUUCUCCUUCCUGCUGCCCCAGAGCCUUUCUGUUCUGGCAGUUGGGUUGCUCCAAACCAGCUGGCAGGGAAAAGCAUCCAUGUGCCAGCCGGGCAGAGCGGCAGAGGGGAGGUGGAGGCUGGAGCCAGCCCCUCUCCAGGGGAGCAGUUUCUGGGCAAGCUGCAGGCUGCCCUCAGUGCACCUGCCUGCAGUGAGGGUCGCAAGGCUGCGCUGCUGGGGAGACCCUCCCUGCAGGAGGGCACAAAGUGCUGGGGGCCACUUCCUCAGCUGCUGCUCUGCUCCAGUGGGACAGCGAAACAUGGUCCUGCUUUCAUCAGGUGAGCAACUGAGCCUGAAGGAUAAUUAAGUGAUUUUAUCCCUGAUCCAAUUUAUCAGAGGGUGAAAUGAGCCUCUCCCCCCAGACGAACAUAAUGCCAAGACCAACUACUCACCUCUCCAGAGAUUAAGCGCCUCCUGGAGCCUUUCCCUCUACUCCCUGAACUGCUCAGUGCCCUGUGUCCUGCAGCUUCAUGCUGCUCCACCUUUUCCCUCCCCCAAACCCUGGUGGAGUGGGGUUGUGCUGGCUGCCCACCUCCCUGCAGAAGACACUGCACGCUGCCUCCCUGAGCGGUCUUGUCCAGGUGCCAUAGCCCAAAUGACAGCUUGUGGGGCCACUGGGGUAAAAUGCUGCCCAUCCGGCCUAUCAAGGCGCCUUAUUUGACCCAUUUGGUCCUGAAUGGGGAAUAAAUGUUCAUUGAAACGACA